GACGAACGCUGGCGGCGUGCUUAACACAUGCAAGUCGAACGGAAAGGCCCUGCUUUUGUGGGGUGCUCGAGUGGCGAACGGGUGAGUAACACGUGAGUAACCUGCCCUUGACUUUGGGAUAACUUCAGGAAACUGGGGCUAAUACCGGAUAGGAGGUCCUGCUGCAUGGUGGGGGUUGGAAAGUUUCGGCGGUUGGGGAUGGACUCGCGGCUUAUCAGCUUGUUGGUGGGGUAGUGGCUUACCAAGGCUUUGACGGGUAGCCGGCCUGAGAGGGUGACCGGCCACAUUGGGACUGAGAUACGGCCCAGACUCCUACGGGAGGCAGCAGUGGGGAAUAUUGCACAAUGGGCGGAAGCCUGAUGCAGCAACGCCGCGUGCGGGAUGACGGCCUUCGGGUUGUAAACCGCUUUCGCCUGUGACGAAGCGUGAGUGACGGUAAUGGGUAAAGAAGCACCGGCUAACUACGUG
This 468-nucleotide ribosomal RNA is filed under the name uncultured bacterium. RNAcentral's name for it is "partial 16S ribosomal RNA". It matches the Rfam family "Bacterial small subunit ribosomal RNA", at positions 28 to 507 of the family's 1533-position model. The record is from RNAcentral.